Molecule: ribosomal RNA, 226 nt
Filed under: Triticum aestivum (bread wheat)
Lineage: Eukaryota; Viridiplantae; Streptophyta; Magnoliopsida; Poales; Poaceae
Description: partial small subunit ribosomal RNA
Source: RNAcentral
AUAAACAAAAUUAUACAAGCGACUAGACUAGUAUCACAGAUCUACAGAGUAGUACUAAACAGCUAAAAAUAAGUAGUAGAAGUAACUAGUACAGGGAGCAAGUACUCCUUUCAUUCACUUUAAACUGAGACAACUGAAAAGGAGUACUCCUUUCAUUUAAUUUACUUUAAACUGAGACUACUAAAAAGGAGUACUCCUCUCUUGAGAAGUUGAUGUAAAUGAAAUC